CCAAUCUUUUCCCUAAUGUCGGGAAUCCUUUUCAUCAUCUUGAUGAAUCGUGUCCUGCAAUGUCCUUCCUUCCCAUCGUCCUUGACGGGUGUGUCUGUCCGUCAACAC
Molecule: small RNA, 108 nt
Filed under: uncultured bacterium
Lineage: Bacteria
Description: RsmZ
Source: RNAcentral